AUUGAACGCUGGCGGCAUGCCUUACACAUGCAAGUCGAACGGCAGCACGGGGCAACCUGGUGGCGAGUGGCGAACGGGUGAGUAAUGCAUCGGAACGUACCUUUCAGUGGGGGAUAACGUAGCGAAAGUUACGCUAAUACCGCAUAUUCUGUGAGCAGGAAAGCAGGGGAUCGCAAGACCUUGCGCUGAUUGAGCGGCCGAUGUCAGAUUAGCUAGUUGGUGAGGUAAAGGCUCACCAAGGCGACGAUCUGUAGCGGGUCUGAGGGGAUGAUCCGCCACACUGGAACUGAGACACGGUCCAGACUCCUACGGGAGGCAGCAGUGGGGAAUUUUGGACAAUGGGGGCAACCCUGAUCCAGCCAUGCCGCGUGAGUGAAGAAGGCCUUCGGGUUGUAAAGCUCUUUCGGCCGGGAAGAAAUCGCACGGGCUAAUGCCCUGUGUGGAUGACGGUACCGGAAUAAGAAGCACCGGCUAACUACGUGCCAGCCGCCGCGGUAA
RNAcentral lists this ribosomal RNA (498 nucleotides) under uncultured bacterium. RNAcentral describes it as "partial 16S ribosomal RNA". It matches the Rfam family "Bacterial small subunit ribosomal RNA", at positions 30 to 523 of the family's 1533-position model. The record is from RNAcentral.